AGUGAACGCUGGCGGUAGGCCUAACACAUGCAAGUCGAACGGCAGCACAGUAAGAGCUUGCUCUUACGGGUGGCGAGUGGCGGACGGGUGAGGAAUACAUCGGAAUCUACUUUUUCGUGGGGGAUAACGUAGGGAAACUUACGCUAAUACCGCAUACGACCUACGGGUGAAAGCAGUGGAUCUUCGGACCUUGCGCGAUUGAAUGAGCCGAUGUCGGAUUAGCUAGUUGGCGGGGUAAAGGCCCACCAAGGCGACGAUCCGUAGCUGGUCUGAGAGGAUGACCACCCAAAUCGGAAAUAAGCAACGGUCCAGAACCGAACGGCGGGCGGCAGUGGGGAAUAAUGAGCAAAGGGAGAAAGCAAGCUCCAGCAAUGCCGGGGAGGGCAAAAAGGCCUUCGGAUUGUAAAGCCUUUUUUUUGGGAAAGAAAAGUCGGAGGUAAAUGCCCCGCUUUUAUAGGGGGACCCAAAAUAGAAGCACCGGACACCUUCGC
Molecule: ribosomal RNA, 491 nt
Filed under: uncultured bacterium
Lineage: Bacteria
Description: partial 16S ribosomal RNA
Rfam family: Bacterial small subunit ribosomal RNA
Source: RNAcentral